AACGAACGCUUGCGGCGUGCUUAACACAUGCAAGUCGAACGAGAAAGGGACUUCGGUCCUGAGUAAAGUGGCGCACGGGUGAGUAACGCGUAGGUAAUCUACCCCUGUGUUCGGGACAACAUCGGGAAACUGGUGCUAAUACCGGAUACGUUUCACGGAUUGCGAGAUAAGUGAAGGAAAGAUGGCGAUCUCUUCGGAGAGCUAUUGCACGGGGAUGAGCCUGCGUACCAUUAGCUAGUUGGUGGGGUAAGAGCCUACCAAGGCGACGAUGGUUAGCGGGUCUGAGAGGAUGAUCCGCCACACUGGAACUGGAACACGGUCCAGACUCCUACGGGUGGCAG
RNAcentral lists this ribosomal RNA (341 nucleotides) under uncultured Pseudomonadota bacterium. RNAcentral describes it as "bacterial SSU rRNA". It matches the Rfam family "Bacterial small subunit ribosomal RNA", at positions 29 to 351 of the family's 1533-position model. The record is from RNAcentral. Lineage: Bacteria; Pseudomonadati; Pseudomonadota.